RNAcentral lists this ribosomal RNA (1320 nucleotides) under Escherichia coli. Its description in RNAcentral is "partial 23S ribosomal RNA". It matches the Rfam family "Bacterial large subunit ribosomal RNA", at positions 165 to 1528 of the family's 2925-position model. Lineage: Bacteria; Pseudomonadati; Pseudomonadota; Gammaproteobacteria; Enterobacterales; Enterobacteriaceae. The record is from RNAcentral.
CAUAGGUUAAUGAGGCGAACCGGGGGAACUGAAACAUCUAAGUACCCCGAGGAAAAGAAAUCAACCGAGAUUCCCCCAGUAGCGGCGAGCGAACGGGGAGCAGCCCAGAGCCUGAAUCAGUAUGUGUGUUAGUGGAAGCGUCUGGAAAGGCGCGCGAUACAGGGUGACAGCCCCGUACACAAAAAUGCACAUGCUGUGAGCUCGAUGAGUAGGGCGGGACACGUGGUAUCCUGUCUGAAUAUGGGGGGACCAUCCUCCAAGGCUAAAUACUCCUGACUGACCGAUAGUGAACCAGUACCGUGAGGGAAAGGCGAAAAGAACCCCGGCGAGGGGAGUGAAAAAGAACCUGAAACCGUGUACGUACAAGCAGUGGGAGCACGCUUAGGCGUGUGACUGCGUACCUUUUGUAUAAUGGGUCAGCGACUUAUAUUCUGUAGCAAGGUUAACCGAAUAGGGGAGCCGAAGGGAAACCGAGUCUUAACUGGGCGUUAAGUUGCAGGGUAUAGACCCGAAACCCGGUGAUCUAGCCAUGGGCAGGUUGAAGGUUGGGUAACACUAACUGGAGGACCGAACCGACUAAUGUUGAAAAAUUAGCGGAUGACUUGUGGCUGGGGGUGAAAGGCCAAUCAAACCGGGAGAUAGCUGGUUCUCCCCGAAAGCUAUUUAGGUAGCGCCUCGUGAAUUCAUCUCCGGGGGUAGAGCACUGUUUCGGCAAGGGGGUCAUCCCGACUUACCAACCCGAUGCAAACUGCGAAUACCGGAGAAUGUUAUCACGGGAGACACACGGCGGGUGCUAACGUCCGUCGUGAAGAGGGAAACAACCCAGACCGCCAGCUAAGGUCCCAAAGUCAUGGUUAAGUGGGAAACGAUGUGGGAAGGCCCAGACAGCCAGGAUGUUGGCUUAGAAGCAGCCAUCAUUUAAAGAAAGCGUAAUAGCUCACUGGUCGAGUCGGCCUGCGCGGAAGAUGUAACGGGGCUAAACCAUGCACCGAAGCUGCGGCAGCGACGCUGAUGCGUUGUUGGGUAGGGGAGCGUUCUGUAAGCCUGCGAAGGUGUGCUGUGAGGCAUGCUGGAGGUAUCAGAAGUGCGAAUGCUGACAUAAGUAACGAUAAAGCGGGUGAAAAGCCCGCUCGCCGGAAGACCAAGGGUUCCUGUCCAACGUUAAUCGGGGCAGGGUGAGUCGACCCCUAAGGCGAGGCCGAAAGGCGUAGUCGAUGGGAAACAGGUUAAUAUUCCUGUACUUGGUGUUACUGCGAAGGGGGGACGGAGAAGGCUAUGUUGGCCGGGCGACGGUUGUCCCGGUUUAAGCGUGUAGGCUGG